RNA transcript from Triticum urartu, 2249 nucleotides. It is a transcript of the gene named protein EARLY RESPONSIVE TO DEHYDRATION 15, with no coding region annotated. The record is from RefSeq and is a predicted model, not a curated record. Lineage: Eukaryota; Viridiplantae; Streptophyta; Magnoliopsida; Poales; Poaceae.
AAAAUCCCAUCGUUCCCACUCACAAACCAACCCAACACCCGGCGGUCCACUAUCCAGAUCCAGAUUCUCUAUCCUGACCCUGCUCCUGCGAUCCCCAACCGACCCUGCUCCUGCGAUCCCCAACCGACCCUGCUCCUGCGAUCCCCAACCCCAAUCCAAGGACCAGACCAAGAGCAACAGGGAGACCAUGAGCGCCAUGGUCGCGUCGUCGCUUAACCCGGAGGCCCCGCUCUUCAUCCCGGCAGCGUUCCAGCAGGUGGAGGACUUCUCACCGCAGUGGUGGGACCUCGUCAAGUCCACCGCCUGGUUUGGCGACCACUGGUACCACCAGCACCAGCAGCUCGACGAUAUGGCCGACUCCCUCAUGGCCUUGGAGGCCGAGGACGCCAUCGCCGUCGAGGCUUCGCAGCCGCAGCCGCCAGCGGCACUCAAGAUUGACGGGGUGCUCAAGGCGCUGAGCCUGGCGUCCCCAAGCCCAAAGGGUGGCUUCUCGGAGAAGCCUAGGUACACCGAGAAGCCCACCAAGUAUGCCGGCAGCCCGAGGAGCGGUGGCGCACCGCGCUUCAUCCACCAGCCUCGCUAGGUUGGGAUGUCAAGCUUCAAGAAUCGAGCAAAUCCUGCGCCUGCAGUGAUGCAUUGCUCUGGCUGCCGCCGCCGUCUCAUCUUUCAAGUCUUCUUCUACUAGUAACACUACCAAGAUCAGAGCGAGCAGCGCUUGCCGUCGGCCGCAUGCAGCACGGUCGGUGUCGUGGUGGAGCUGCAAUGAAACAUCGUCGGAGGUCGCCGCUGCUGUAAUGGAGCAUCACUUGGCUGAUGGUGCCGUGGUGGAGCUGCAAUGAAACAUCACUGGGGAUCGUCGCUGCUACGGUGGAGCGUCGCCGGACCGUCGAUCCGUGGUGCUGUGAUGAAGCAUUGUUGAACCGCCGACGUCGGCGGUGCUUCAUUGCAACCUCGCCGGAGCUUCCAACGACCGCCGCGACGCUUCACUGCAACCUCGCCGGAGCUCCAACAAUCGUCGUGGCGCUUCAUUGCAACCUCGCCGGAGCUUCAUUGCAACCUCAGCCGUGCUCCAUGGUAGCACCCCGACAGCCGCCGGUGAAGCUUCAUUGCAGCGUCACCACCACCACGCGGCCGUGCUCCAUCGCAGCACCGCUGCCCGCCUGCCCCGUCAAAGCUCCACCGCAGCACCAGACUGGUGCCGGCGAAGCUUCACUGCAGCGCAACGCGAUGGCGUCGAGGUGCUGCGGCGAAUCAGGCGACCGCGAUGCUGCGAUGCAGACGCGGUGGCGACAGAGCUCUCGAGGCCCGAUGUUGUGAUGCUCCUCUCCUCAACCUCCCCACUGCAGCAUGUGCGGCGAGUGGUGACCCGCCUCCAACACCAUCGUCUUCUGCAGCUCCGGUGGCCACACCGUACCGUCGCCCCCCUUUGGAGCAGCGAUGCCCCGCGAUGGAUCUCUCACAUGGGUCCUAGAAUUUGUGUUGGAGCUUCGCCGAAGGGAGAGAAGGUGAGCAGGAAGGUUGUUGACGCCGGCGGCAUGGCUCCGGCGGUGGGUUGGACGGGAUUGAGGGGUGAAGAGAGAGAGGGAGGAGAUGGAACAGAGAAGAGAUGGGGAUGAAGAGAAGCGCUCCAGGAAUGACCAGAUCCUUCGGCAAAGAGAUAAGGUGGAGGACGCGUGGGCAUGUGGGCCUGUGGGACACGUGGCGUGCUGUGAAGGAGGUUUACGAGAGAUAGAAAUCAUUCGGUUGAUUGUAAACGUUUUCCGGAAAAAAAAUCUACCGAAAACAUCGCGCACCAAACCGACGCAAAAACAGUGAAGAACACACGUCCUCCACCUUCUCCCGGACCCAAUCUGCAUCUCUUUCCCAAUCCCGAACUACCUGGCAUCCGUCCUCGCUCGCACCCCCGCAUGGAGGGCUCACCCCGCCCCGCCGAAGGCCUCGUGCACGGCGGACACCUUGGCGAUCGAGCUUGCGGGGGCGGCGCCUCGGGGACGGCCCGGUCAUGCGCGGCAACGGCGCCGGCGGCGGGGGGUAGCGGGCCACGCAGCAAUCCAUCUGGUGGAGAAAAAUUCACUGGACAUGACCAUUGCAGGAAAGUCAUGGGUGUUCGGAACACAAAGAAGUUCUAAAUAUUGCAAGUUGAAGUUUUAUCUAUGGUGCUCGGUAUUUUCGUUUUCAAUUAACACUCUACGAAUGAUAUUUGAUGCUUAUUUAAAUAACUGACAUGUAUGUACUAUGACAUUCCCUUA